AGGUAAACGCGGGAAAAGAGAGGAAGAAAAAAAAAGAGACGAAAAAAAAAAGUUUCGCUUUCUUCCCUUUUUCACUGCCAUCCCGCUUCUUUCUUUCUGUUUUUUCUUCACCGUUUCUUUUUUU
This 124-nucleotide non-coding RNA is filed under the name uncultured eukaryote. The record is from RNAcentral.